RNAcentral lists this ribosomal RNA (301 nucleotides) under uncultured bacterium. Its description in RNAcentral is "partial 16S ribosomal RNA". It matches the Rfam family "Bacterial small subunit ribosomal RNA", at positions 509 to 808 of the family's 1533-position model. The record is from RNAcentral.
CAGCAGCCGCGGGAAUACGUAGGUCCCGAGCGUUGUCCGGAUUUAUUGGGCGUAAAGCGAGCGCAGGCGGUUAGAUAAGUCUGAAGUUAAAGGCUGUGGCUUAACCAUAGUACGCUUUGGAAACUGCUUAACUUGAGUGCAAGAGGGGAGAGUGGACUUCCAUGUGUAGCGGUGAAAUGCGUAGAUAUAUGGAGGAACACCGGUGGCGAAAGCGGCUCUCUGGCUUGUAACUGACGCUGAGGCUCGAAAGCGUGGGGAGCAAACAGGAUUAGAUACCCGCGUAGUCCCUGUCUCUUAUACA